RNAcentral lists this ribosomal RNA (707 nucleotides) under uncultured bacterium. RNAcentral's name for it is "bacterial SSU rRNA". It matches the Rfam family "Bacterial small subunit ribosomal RNA", at positions 80 to 770 of the family's 1533-position model. The record is from RNAcentral.
CGGGGAGAAAGUAGAGUGGCGCACGGGUGAGUAACACGUAGGUAAUCUACCUUUGGGUGGGGAAUAACAGCCGGAAACGGCUGCUAAUACCGCAUAAUGCAGCGGCUCGACAUCGAGACAGUUGUUAAAGCGGGGGAUCGCAAGACCUCGCGCCUAAAGAGGAGCCUGCGGCAGAUUAGCUAGUUGGCAGGGUAAUGGCCUACCAAGGCAACGAUCUGUAGCCGGCCUGAGAGGGCGGUCGGCCACACUGACACUGACAUACGGGUCAGACUCCUACGGGAGGCAGCAGUCGGGAAUUUUGGGCAAUGGGCGAAAGCCUGACCCAGCAACGCCGCGUGAAGGAUGAAAUCCUUCGGGAUGUAAACUUCGCAAGAAUGGGAAGAAUAAGUAGAAGAUAAUACCUUCUAUGAUGACGGUACCAUUUGUAAGCUCCGGCUAACUCCGUGCCAGCAGCCGCGGUAAUACGGGGGGAGCAAGCGUUGUUCGGAUUUACUGGGCGUAAAGGGCGCGUAGGCGGUCACUACAAGUCAGUUGUGAAAUCUCUGGGCUUAACUCAGAACGGUCAACUGAUACUGUCGGACUAGAGUGCAGAAGGGGCAACUGGAAUUCUCGGUGUAGCGGUGAAAUGCGUAGAUAUCGAGAGGAACACCUGCGGCGAAGCGGGUUGCUGGGCUGACACUGACGCUGAGCGCGAAAGCUAGGGAGCG